RNAcentral lists this ribosomal RNA (433 nucleotides) under uncultured bacterium. Its description in RNAcentral is "partial 16S ribosomal RNA". It matches the Rfam family "Bacterial small subunit ribosomal RNA", at positions 29 to 507 of the family's 1533-position model. The record is from RNAcentral.
AACGAACGCUGGCGGCAUGCCUAACACAUGCAAGUCGAACGAAGCUUUCGGGCGUAGUGGCGCACGGGUGCGUAACGCGUGGGAAUCUGCCCUUGGGUUCGGAAUAACUGUGAGAAAUUGCUGCUAAUACCGGAUGAUGUCUUCGGACCAAAGAUUUAUCGCCCAGGGAUGAGCCCGCGUAGGAUUCGCUAGUUGGUAGGGUAAUGGCCUACCACGGCGUGGAUCCUUAGCUGGUCUGAGAGGAUGAUCAGCCACACUGGGACUGAGACACGGCCCAGACUCCUACGGGAGGGAGCAGUGGGGAAUAUUGGACAGUGGGGGCAAGGCUGAUCCAGCAAUGCCGCGUGAGUGAUGAAGGCCUUAGGGUUGUAAAGCUCUUUUACCCGGGAUGAUAAUGACAGUACCGGGAGAAUAAGCUCCGGCUAACUCCGUG